RNAcentral lists this non-coding RNA (85 nucleotides) under pig gut metagenome. The record is from RNAcentral.
GCAAGCAGUAACAACGAACCUUGAGAAGUCAGCAGACGCCAUAGUAGCCGAUACGGGUAAAAAAAAUCGACAAUCGGUGAAGGGC